Molecule: long non-coding RNA, 1584 nt
Organism: Pseudoliparis swirei
Lineage: Eukaryota; Metazoa; Chordata; Actinopteri; Perciformes; Liparidae
Exons: 4
Source: RefSeq, a predicted model, not a curated record
AGGAAAACCAUAUAUAUGUGAGAGAAGGAUUCUCCCUGUUAUGUUUUCUAUUAAAUUUACCACUUCAAUCUCAGAAUAUUAUAAUAAUAAUAUAUUAAAAAUAAAUAAAUAGACCGCAUACAUGUCACAUGUCACAUUGGGGUUUAAUGAUAAACUUUUUCUAUUAAUUAUUAAAUUAAUAUAACAGUGUUUUGAUAUGCUUUGAAUUUAAAAAUAUUAAAUAUAUCAGCUAAAAAUCAUUCAAUCAACUGAGAAGAUCAUAAUCAUGUUACGUAUUGUGCAUAUAUGUCACAUUAGUUUUAGGAUAAAUACCCGAUGUGACGGUACAUUAUUUAUCAGAUUUGUUUUAUAUUAGUCUGUUCAAGAAAUGUGUUCAGGUUUAAUAUAAUAACUGCGCGCGCACCAGGGGCGUGUCUAGGGGGUGGCCAGGGGUGGCACGUGCUACCCCUGGAAUCUGAUUGGCCACCCCAAGUGCCACCCCAUAUGCUAAACUAUGAUUGGCUAUCUGCCCAUGGAGGCGGGAACGUUUGAAUUGUGUGACUACCGAACUUUCAUUUUCAACCGACAAGAAGACAUCAAGAAGACAUCAAGAGAUUGCGGCUACUCGCUCCUGAAAGAUGUGAGUAGCUAGAAUUAUUGAUAACAGUUACACAUAAUGAGUCAGUGGUUUAAAAAGUUUGAACUGUAAUAAGCUAAAACGUUUUUUGAUUUUCACGAUAUGUGGUGCAGGUCUGUCAUCAUCGCGACUGUCAACAGUGUCGACUGACUCAGCUUGCUGCCUAGCAAACCUGUCCAGGGAUUCUUAGCUCCUGAAAGAUGUGAGUAGACUUAUUGAUACACAUGUGUGAAUGGUUUAAAAGCUAAAACGUUUUCCCAUCUUAUUUUAUUAUUUCCUGACUCAGCUUACUAGCAAACCUGUCGUCAUCAUUGUUUGGUUAUUGUCAACGAUGCUAACGCUAACGCUAAUGCUAAUGCUAACGCUAGCUAACUUAACGUUACAGUAUGUAAAUCUGUCUUGUAUCUCUUCUAACUUUGUAACAUUAGACCUGAGUAAGUUUUGCAUGUCACAUUCAUUCAUGCAUUCAUAAUUAGGCUAAAUGUAUUGUGCAAGAUAUAGUGACAUGCAUCAUGACAUGCGACUAUUACAGUAUGAAAAGAAAUCAGAACAUUCAGGGAUUCUUCAAAAGAAAGAAAUCCAAAACAACAGAGCAGGACAGAGCAGCAGAAGCCAGCAGUGCUAGUCAGUCUGAGGAUGAGAGCCAGCUUGACUCUGCUAGGGAUGUACAGCAGGAGCCUCCAGCUUCAGCUGUACACAUGGACUCAGACAAGGAUACUGGUGAUGAAGGCCCUUCAUCUUCACUUGCACAUCAGGGUGUGUCAAGUCAGCCACUCUCUGACAAUGACACUGACACUGAGAACCAUCCAGCAGUACCUGCAGGCCAUGCAGUGACACGUGGGGAUGGUGAUGCAGCAGCCCUUGUGGCCCCACCUGGACCUCAUGAUAUUUCACAGUCAAGAGCAGCAGGUCCCUCUCAGCCUCGUUUAAAGGUUUUUCCAAGAACCCUCCAAGGUGAGAAGAGGAGG